GCAGAACUGUGGAUAAAAAGGAAUUUGAAGUUGGAGAGUUGCUUUGGAGACUUCAGUGAUUAAAAGUUUCCAGAUGUGGCUGAAGGCAAACAGUAAUUGCCCGGUUUAAUGGAAGAUGGUUAAGCCUGUGUUGGACAUCUGCUGUCUUUGCCGCCCUAGUCUGCAUUUCCCAGUAUUCUGCCAGCAGAAACGUAUUCGGUGCUCACACAUCAAUCCCUGGCUUCCCAGCGUCCCUCAGCAAACAUCCCCUUCUCCUGAUGCAAAAUAACCUCUCUCCUAUUGUUAUUAUCCCACAUGGUUCUAUUACUCAAUGCAGAGUGGCAUUGAGCAAAUUCACUCCAAGGUGAAUUUCAGAAAACUAUCCUUCCAAGAUUGUUGCCAUUGCUGUGAAGUGUUUCCACCUGCUCUGGGGCCAUGGAAGAGAAAACUUCCAAGUAUCUUUAUGUUAACUGAUUUUUCCAGUGGACCACAAUUCACAGAAAAACCUGCUUAUGGGCCAAGCCUGGAGAACAAUCAAUGGGACAAGGAGGAGAAAACUUACCUCUAUUUAAUCAGCUCCACGUUUCUGACAAAUGUGAAGAGCAACUGUGAAUACAGCUCGGCUGCUUAAUUCCAGACUGUUUUAUGUUGGAGCAUCACUCUUCUCUCCAAAACUUUGUCAAGAUCGUUUUACCAAGAGCACUUGCUGGAAAGCCUUUUUGGAGAAAAAGGCAAAUAACGUAUUCUGUGAGGCAGUAAAGCAGCCACUUAGAGACACAGUACUUUGAUUAUACUCUUUGAAAGACAGAGAGAAUUAGAUUUUAACAACUAUUCCAAAUCUCUCACCUAAGGGGUAGAAUUAUAAAAGAGCUCCGCAUCACCCUUGUUAUUACUACAUAUUUGGACAAGGGAAAAAUUCAAAAUAAAGUUAUUUAUAAAAAAUGCUCAUUUUUUCAUAAGGCUGUGCAAUAUGUGAUUUGUUAGCACAAAUUGGAGUGUGGAGGGCAUGUGUGUUGAAUUUGGCCUGAGGGAUCCUCCUAAUGGUUUAGGCAACAGAUGAGUGUCCCUACAUUCACUAGUUUCCUUAAAUAAACCACGGAAGCUUUAGAGGAAAGGUUUCUUUUAUUUUUUCUUUCCAAUUUGUAUUUUAGGGUCAGGGGUUCUUGU
RNAcentral lists this long non-coding RNA (1146 nucleotides) under Homo sapiens (human). Its description in RNAcentral is "HSALNT0269289". Lineage: Eukaryota; Metazoa; Chordata; Mammalia; Primates; Hominidae. The record is from RNAcentral.